AAGUGGGAAACGAUGUGGGAAGGCCCAGACAGCCAGGAUGUUGGCUUAGAAGCAGCCAUCAUUUAAAGAAAGCGUAAUAGCUCACUGGUCGAGUCGGCCUGCGCGGAAGAUGUAACGGGGCUAAACCAUGCACCGAAGCUGCGGCAGCGACACUAUGUGUUGUUGGGUAGGGGAGCGUUCUGUAAGCCUGUGAAGGUGUACUGUGAGGUAUGCUGGAGGUAUCAGAAGUGCGAAUGCUGACAUAAGUAACGAUAAAGCGGGUGAAAAGCCCGCUCGCCGGAAGACCAAGGGUUCCUGUCCAACGUUAAUCGGGGCAGGGUGAGUCGACCCCUAAGGCGAGGCCGAAAGGCGUAGUCGAUGGGAAACAGGUUAAUAUUCCUGUACUUGGUGUUACUGCGAAGGGGGGACGGAGAAGGCUAUGUUGGCCGGGCGACGGUUGUCCCGGUUUAAGCGUGUAGGCUGAUUUUCCAGGCAAAUCCGGAAAAUCAAGGCUGAGGCGUGAUGACGAGGCACUACGGUGCUGAAGCAACAAAUGCCCUGCUUCCAGGAAAAGCCUCUAAGCAUCAGGUAACAUCAAAUCGUACCCCAAACCGACACAGGUGGUCAGGUAGAGAAUACCAAGGCGCUUGAGAGAACUCGGGUGAAGGAACUAGGCAAAAUGGUGCCGUAACUUCGGGAGAAGGCACGCUGAUAUGUAGGUGAAGCGACUUGCUCGUGGAGCUGAAAUCAGUCGAAGAUACCAGCUGGCUGCAACUGUUUAUUAAAAACACAGCACUGUGCAAACACGAAAGUGGACGUAUACGGUGUGACGCCUGCCCGGUGCCGGAAGGUUAAUUGAUGGGGUUAGCGGUAACGCGAAGCUCUUGAUCGAAGCCCCGGUAAACGGCGGCCGUAACUAUAACGGUCCUAAGGUAGCGAAAUUCCUUGUCGGGUAAGUUCCGACCUGCACGAAUGGCGUAAUGAUGGCCAGGCUGUCUCCACCCGAGACUCAGUGAAAUUGAACUCGCUGUGAAGAUGCAGUGUACCCGCGGCAAGACGGAAAGACCCCGUGAACCUUUACUAUAGCUUGACACUGAACAUUGAGCCUUGAUGUGUAGGAUAGGUGGGAGGCUUUGAAGUGUGGACGCCAGUCUGCAUGGAGCCGACCUUGAAAUACCACCCUUUAAUGUUUGAUGUUCUAACGUUGGCCCGUUAUCCGGGUUGCGGACAGUGUCUGGUGGGUAGUUUGACUGGGGCGGUCUCCUCCUAAAGAGUAACGGAGGAGCACGAAGGUUGGCUAAUCCUGGUCGGACAUCAGGAGGUUAGUGCAAU
Molecule: ribosomal RNA, 1311 nt
Filed under: Escherichia coli
Lineage: Bacteria; Pseudomonadati; Pseudomonadota; Gammaproteobacteria; Enterobacterales; Enterobacteriaceae
Description: partial 23S ribosomal RNA
Rfam family: Bacterial large subunit ribosomal RNA
Source: RNAcentral